Ictidomys tridecemlineatus (thirteen-lined ground squirrel) is the source of this 1762-nucleotide long non-coding RNA. RefSeq lists it as uncharacterized. The record is from RefSeq and is a predicted model, not a curated record. NCBI's taxonomy places the organism in Eukaryota, Metazoa, Chordata, Mammalia, Rodentia, Sciuridae.
CCUAUUCCUGGCAAUUUUUAAAAUGUCAGGAUAUAUACCUCCAUGGAGCUCAACCCAUGUAGAAAAUCACUGAAUCCCAUGCAGAGUCCAGAGACAGAGUCAACUUCAAGUCUGAUCCGAUCCGGAGGCUCUGGAUCAACUUGCCUUGCCUUGGUCCGAGAGAGGUGUCACUCACAGGCUCACAGGGAGAAAGGAUCUUACUGUGUUGUCCUGGCUGCUUCUCUCAACAGUGUCGGGAAGAGGAGAGACCAGUGCAUCUUGAGGCUCUGUCUGCAAGGUCACCAGCCCACGUCUAAUUUCCCUCCAGGCUUUGCAGAACUGAUUUGGGUCUUUGCUCAAUCUUAAACCCAUCUUGUCUGCAGAAGAACGCCAUUCUCUGAUGGAUCCUCGUCUGGAUUUCUGAAUCAAUCUCCAACACAGAGGAUGAAAUAUAAUGGACAUUUCUCCAUUGGGAUCCACUCUUGUUCUGCUUUCCUGAAGCGGAUGGGCAACACUUCCAGAGGCUCUAGAAUGGUGGUGAGGAGGUGGAUACAGCCUGCCCCUCACCCUGGACCUCACAGCAUCCCUUCAAACGAGCACCACAGUGUUCAUCUGAACAAACGUGAAUCAAUGAGUCAGUAGGGUGUCACCCGCUAAGGAAGGAAGCCAGGUGGAAGUGCCUCUAUCGGCAUUGCUUCCUGAGAGUCGUUCUGACCUGGGUGGUAGGGUCGGGCAGGAUCUUCAGCACUUAGAGUAAGGGAGUCUGGCGAGGAGGUCAGCCUUCAUCCUCUGGUCCUGCAGUCAUUCACACGUUCACUGGUCUCCACCCCCACGGACUUUGCUCAGAGGUUCUAUUCAUGAGACCUGUUUCGCUCUACCCGGCCCCAAUUCACCAGGAGGAGACACACGCGCACCAGAAGGCAAGAAUCACCAGGUGGCAUCUUGAAGGAUAAUCCCCCACAGAAAGAGAAUCUUGCAGACCUAUUCAUUAAUCCAAGAAACAGGCGUGGAGUCGUUACUUUGCUCCCCGGGUGACUCUUUCUAGACCUGGAUGAUACAUUUAGCCAACAGGACAGAAAAAGGUCAAGGGCUUACAGAGUUGACGGUCCAGCAGAGACAAGUCAAGGCCACCAGACAGAUCACGGGCAUAAGGAACGAGACGGUGGUCAUGCAAUUCCUGAACCGUGACACAGGCACUCUGCACAGCUGGUGAGCGAUUGGAUGUGGCAGGUGAGGAUCAGCUGCCGUGUGUGUUUCGGGGUUGGGCCGCGCGAGUGGAUGGUGGUAUCUUUCCCUGGGACAAAGAAAAAACUGGAAAGUGGGUAGGAUCUGGAGAAGGAUCAUCAACGUAGUGUUGGGCAUAUUGAAUGGAAGGAAUUCAUGGACCAGCAGCUGAUGGCCAGAAGGUCAUUGGCCGGAGAACCAGAAAUCAGGAUAUUGCCAAAGGGUGCAAAAGGAGGUCAUUUUUGAUGGGAAGAGUUUGAGAGAUGUAGAGUUGGAAAAAGAAAGCUGAGGAGUGGGAGAGAGAGAGAGAGAAAGAGAAAGAGAGAGAGAGAGAGAGAGCGCAUGCGCGCACUAGCUUUUAAAUCAUUGCAGACUCUUUUUAUCCUAUUGACACAUACAUGCAUUCGGAGGCAUUAUCUGAAUUAAAUGUCCACCGCUGAAGUUAUUUUAGUAUCUGGGAAGCUGCCAGCCCUCCCCAUUUCCUUCAGCUGUAAUGCAUAGCUCCAUUAGAUGAGAUGAACAGGAUUAUUUGGGACAAGUUGGGAAAAAAAAAAAAAAA